This 937-nucleotide long non-coding RNA is filed under the name Equus asinus (donkey). RNAcentral describes it as "lncRNA (ENSEASG00005032544.1)". The record is from RNAcentral. Lineage: Eukaryota; Metazoa; Chordata; Mammalia; Perissodactyla; Equidae.
AGGCAGGCUUGCGAUUCAGAAAAUGGAGUUCAGUCAAUGGAAUGUUCUCUCAUUUCUGAAUAGCCAUAUUGAGUUGUUUUUGAGCAUCUGCUCAACAUUCUUAGAUAGUGACCACAACCUCACCAUCGUGUCGGGUGUGGUUGUGGUUGCUUCUUCUGUUCCUGUGCUUCCUGGUGGGGAUUCCAUCUUCACCAACCUUCUGGAAAACCAAAAUCUACCAAAAGGCUCAGGGAAGAAUAGAAGCAGAGGCUGGAGAAAAGGCUGUGGAUGCUGGACAAUCCUGAUGAGAGGGAAAAGCAGGCAGACACCGUGGGCUGAGAGCCUGCUGCCUCACCGCUUCAAAGAUCACAAGCCACCAAGGGCACUCUUCUAGGAGAAAAAACUAACGCUCAAGUUAUGUCGUCUUACCAAGCAGGACACUCUGUAUUUGCUGUCCCAUCUGUGAGGGGAUUUGCAUGGAAACCUCCCCCAGUGCUAAUGGGAGUCGUUCUCCAACGCAGUCCUCUCUGCAUAGAGGACGGGACGGCUGCCACGGGGAUAUGAAGCUCGGGUCAUUUAAUAAAAAAAGCUCUUGGAAUUAGCACUCCCCAGGUUUCAGAGAUCCAUGUAGUGUAAUUUACUUCCACAUUUUCCUCUCAAUCUGAAGUCUGAAUGUGUUAUCUAAGCUUAGAUACAAGGUUAUCCAAGCAGUGACCUUGGUGGGAAUCUGGCUUCCCUGGGUCUUCUGGAAAAAUGGUCAUCCAAUCUUUUCUUCCUGUCCCCCCUUUAUAAGAAUACAGAAAAGCAACUACUUACAGAAAUAAAGCAAUUAUUAUAAAAAAGAAGAAUUUAUUAACAAUAUGGCUUGAAAAUGAACUGAACUAAAUUUUUCCCUCUUCGUAUGAAUUGGAUUUUUUCCUGUAAACAUGUUUAAUUAGAAACACGCAGUGAGAGCAAG